GACGUAGGGCGCGAGCGUUGUCCGGAUUUAUUGGGCGUAAAGAGCUCGUAGGCGGUCUGUCGCGUCGGUCGUGAAAACUUGGGGCUUAACCCUGAGCUUGCGGUCGAUACGGGCAUGACUGGAGUUCGGUAGGGGAGACUGGAAUUCCUGGUGUAGCGGUGAAAUGCGCAGAUAUCAGGAGGAACACCGGUGGCGAAGGCGGGUCUCUGGGCCGAUACUGACACUGAGAGACGAAAGCUAGGGGAGCAAAUGGG
This 254-nucleotide ribosomal RNA is filed under the name uncultured bacterium. RNAcentral describes it as "partial 16S ribosomal RNA". It matches the Rfam family "Bacterial small subunit ribosomal RNA", at positions 524 to 776 of the family's 1533-position model. The record is from RNAcentral.